GGGAGGGCUGGAGGAGGCGGGCAGCGGCUGGAGGGCGGUUGCUCUGAUAGGGAAGAGGAGGAGGCUGGAUGAAGCCUCCCAGCUCAGCUGGCCGCUUUGUGCCACGGUGGCCACGGCAGACAGAGGCUUCGGGGGAGAUAAUGGAGGCAUAUAAUUUGGAUAAGAAAAUAGGCUUCCAAGAGGAAAAGUCAAAAUUAGAAACAGAAUUGUUAGAACCCAAAACUAAAAAUUUGUCAAGAAUGUAUAACUUGCUGUUGAAAUGGAAUACUCAGGAUGAAACGGUGAAAUCUGCUAUGAUUAAAUGGGCACAAGAUGUUGGCCAUAAUAUUAUGUUUGCUGACUGGGAACAGUUAUGGACCACAGGUAUGAAGUUUACGGCAUGUAAUACCUUAAGAGAGAAUAUUAUGAAAAUGAUAUACAGGUGGUACAUGACCCCAGUCAAGCUUGCAAAAAUUUAUCAUUUGCCCGAUAAUAAAUGUUGGAAAUGUAAAGAAACUGAAGGUACAUUCUUUCACCUUUGGUGGACGUGCCCAAAGAUUAAGGCUUUCUGGGAAAUGAUAUAUAAUGAAAUGAAAAAGGUAUUUAAAUAUACCUUUCUGAAGAAACCAGAGGCCUUUCUCUUGGGCACUGUCGGCCAACUGGUGCCAAAGAAGGACAGAACCUUUUUCAUGUAUGCUACAACAGCAGCAAGAAUACUUAUCGCAAAGUAUUGGAAGACACAAGAUCUACCCACUUUGGAAGAAUGGCAGAUGAAGGUGAUUGACUACAUGGAACUGGCGGAAAUGACUGGCAGAAUCCGAGACCAGGGAGAAGAGUCGGUGAAAGAAGACUGGAAGAAAUUUAAGGACUAUUUACAGAAAUAUUGCAAAAUUAAGGAACUUUAGAAGGAUGUUGGAUAGAAACUAAGAGGUUUUUAGCUGUAAUGCUUUAAGAGACAUGGAAAAAAGGUUAACAAUUGGGUAAAAGAUUAAUGGUAAGGAUUUGCUGAACCAACAAAUUGAAUUGGAAUACAAAGAAGGGAGGUAUGAGGAGGUCCGGGAAAUAAGAGUAAGGAAGAUAGGUUAUGGAACAUUAUUGUGUUUUUAACUGUUUUAUUUUGUAUGUUUUUUUUCUUAUUUUUUACUGUUUUUGUUAUAUCUUAAAACUUUAUACUUUUUCUUUAUUCUGUACUUUCAUGUAUCUUUAAUAAAUAUCAUUUAAAAAAAAAAAAGACAGAGGCUUCGGGGGGUGGUGCUGGUUUGGCACGGCAUGGUGGAGGCGGGCAAGGGCAGCGAGCUGAUGCUGGGAGAUGCCGUGUCCAGCCUCCACCUCUUCCCUGGCACCCUCCAGGCCCUGGCGCCCUGCGCCACUAGCCUCUAUGGGUAAGACGACCCUGGCCAAGGAAAUUGGAAACCUUUUGUAAGGACACCAGAAGAUGAGG
This 1420-nucleotide long non-coding RNA is filed under the name Podarcis lilfordi (Lilford's wall lizard). The record is from RNAcentral. Lineage: Eukaryota; Metazoa; Chordata; Lepidosauria; Squamata; Lacertidae.